RNAcentral lists this transfer RNA (71 nucleotides) under Chloroflexi bacterium 54-19. RNAcentral's name for it is "tRNA-Gln". It matches the Rfam family "tRNA". From Rfam's summary of the family: Transfer RNA (tRNA) molecules are approximately 80 nucleotides in length. Their secondary structure includes four short double-helical elements and three loops (D, anti-codon, and T loops). RNAcentral also lists the same sequence under 1 other name. Lineage: Bacteria; Bacillati; Chloroflexota; Chloroflexia; Candidatus Chloroheliales. The record is from RNAcentral.
UCGGGUAUCGUCUAACGGUAGGACAGCAGACUUUGGAUCUGUCGGUUGGGGUUCGAAUCCCUGUACCCGAG